Molecule: ribosomal RNA, 460 nt
Filed under: uncultured bacterium
Lineage: Bacteria
Description: partial 16S ribosomal RNA
Rfam family: Bacterial small subunit ribosomal RNA
Source: RNAcentral
CCUACGGGAGGCUGCAGUGAGGAAUAUUGGUCAAUGGGCGCGAGCCUGAACCAGCCACGUCGCGUGAAGGAUGACUGCCCUACGGGUUGUAAACUUCUUUUAUAAAGAACUAAAGUGAGGCACGUUUGCCUUUUUGUAUGUACUUUAUGAAUAAGGCUCGGCUAACUCCGUGCCAGCAGCCGCGGUAAUACAGCGGAUCCGAGCGUUCUCCGGAUUUAUUGGGUUUAAAGGGAGCGGAGAUGGGUUGUUAAGUCAGUUGUGAAAGGUUGCGGCUCAACCGUAAAAUUGCAAUUGAUACUGGCAGUCUUGAGUACAGGUGAGGUAGGCGGAAUUCGUGGUGUAGCGGUGAAAUGCUUAGAUAUCACGCAGAACUCCGAUUGCGAAGGCAGCUGACUAAACCGCCACUGACACUGAUGCUCGAAAGCGUGGGUAUCAAACAGGAUUAGAUACCCGAGUAGUC